RNAcentral lists this non-coding RNA (74 nucleotides) under Amycolatopsis australiensis. Lineage: Bacteria; Bacillati; Actinomycetota; Actinomycetes; Pseudonocardiales; Pseudonocardiaceae. The record is from RNAcentral.
GAGGAACCCGGUGGAAGCCCGGGGCGGUCCCGCCACUGUGACCGGAGACGGCCGUCUCCGGGAGCCAGGAACUC